Molecule: ribosomal RNA, 468 nt
Filed under: uncultured bacterium
Lineage: Bacteria
Description: partial 16S ribosomal RNA
Rfam family: Bacterial small subunit ribosomal RNA
Source: RNAcentral
GACGAACGCUGGCGGCGUGCUUAACACAUGCAAGUCGAACGGAAAGGCCCUGCUUUUGUGGGGUGCUCGAGUGGCGAACGGGUGAGUAACACGUGAGUAACCUGCCCUUGACUUUGGGAUAACUUCAGGAAACUGGGGCUAAUACCGGAUAGGAGCUCCUGCUGCAUGGUGGGGGUUGGAAAGUUUCGGCGGUUGGGGAUGGACUCGCGGCUUAUCAGCUUGUUGGUGGGGUAGUGGCUUACCAAGGCUUUGACGGGUAGCCGGCCUGAGAGGGUGACCGGCCACAUUGGGACUGUGAUACGGCCCAGGCUCCUACGGGAGGCAGCAGUGGGGGAUGUUGCACAAUGGGCCGAAGCCUGAUGCAACAACGCCGCGUGCGGGAUGACGGCCUUCGGGUUGUAAACCGCUUUCGCCUGUGACGAAGCGUGAGUGACGGUAAUGGGUAAAGAAGCACCGGCUAACUACGUG